GUUAGUUUAUUUAUGGGAAUCCAUCCAAUUAACUGAAUAAUAAUGUUUUACGUUAAAUAACGAAUGCGUAACUUGUAACUAGUUUGCGAUGGAUUUAUACGUGGAGCGAAAUAUUGGUGAGACAACGAGGAAUGUGAUGCGUUGAAAAUUCAAAGGCUGCUUUUUGUCAUUGCAUGAGCUAUUUAUGUGUGAGUGGUGAAAUAAUGCAUGUUUAAGCAGACAGAGUAAAAAUUAGGCGCAUCAUAUUAUCCUUGUGAGCCCUUGCAAGUUUUGACAUUUCAUGCAUGUCCUUACGUUGCUGAACUCCUCCAGAAACGGUAUUUGGAGUUUCGUCCAAAAUAUGUGGCGGUUUUAAUUCCAGUUCACAUUUCAACAAAUGUGCAUCAAGAGAGUCUUCAAAAAAGAAAACAUAUAUGCGCGCAUAACUAUAUAUAGUCCAUGCAUGGCCUACUUAGCAGGACUUUGCAAUAUAACUAAGAAGACAUUUCAAAUACAAUACAUAAGUUACAGGAUAUGUCAGUUCCAUAGACAUGCAGAAGAGAAAUGCUAUCCCCACACAGACCAAGACAGAACUUUGAGAAUAUGAGGUAUAUCCACGUUUGGGGGAAAAAGGUCCGGCGAGUAGUAAAAUGCAAAAUUGAUGAAACAGGACAAACAUUACAAACUGAAAAGAAUAUCUGUGGAAUAGUUAAAAGUUAGACCUCACUGGAUACAUAUACCGAAUUUCUUUUAUCAAGGGAAGAAGGUUGUGUGCAAACUUGUAAGUUUCAGCGGAAACAUUCAAAGAAUUUAAAGUAUACUAAGCAUACUAAACUUAUUGUUCAAAACAUAAAAAUAAGUAGUUUUUUACAGGUCUUACGGCAAUGAACGCUCUAACAAAGAUUUGGUCAUGUUGAACACGACAUACAAGUACGGGGUGAUCGGCAGUUCGGCCGCAAAACUUUUGUUGAAAAAUAUUCCAGUUCUCUAUAUUGUAUCUUACAAACAGUUAUCUCAUAUAAUCAUCAAUUCUUUUACUAUUUUAACUAGAUAAAGACGUGACACAUGGAUUUAUUAUCAAUCAUCUUAUAUAUUAAAAUAGAAAUCAUGACUUCUUUUCAUGUGUGAUUUUUUAAGUUUGGACCAUUCCUAGAAAAUAUCAUAUUUUACAUAAGUUCAUUAUUAUAUCUUUUAAUAUCUUUAUCUUUUUAUUUGAAAUACAAAUCAAUACUAUUAAAACUGAAGGGCCUUUUUUGAGGUCACCUUAGAGUUUUAAAGUAUUUACAAUAUACUGCCACUAACUUUAUUUAAACAUAUGCUUUUAAUUAAAAUCAGUAUUUUCGAAAUUCUUUUUAUUUAAACAGAAACACCUACAUUACACCUACGUAAUUCUUUUAUUUUAAAAGUAACAUAAUGUCUUCCUAAUGAAACAUAACGUAUCAUUAAAUAACAAAGUAACUUCUACAUUUUAAACAAACUUCAAUUGCAUCAACACUAAUUUUCCUUUUUUAUAGAUUAGAUGUACCAUCUCUUGUGACAAAAAAAAAAGA
Molecule: long non-coding RNA, 1529 nt
Organism: Brassica rapa (field mustard)
Lineage: Eukaryota; Viridiplantae; Streptophyta; Magnoliopsida; Brassicales; Brassicaceae
Source: RefSeq, a predicted model, not a curated record